Cyprinus carpio (common carp) is the source of this 2016-nucleotide long non-coding RNA. The record is from Ensembl. Lineage: Eukaryota; Metazoa; Chordata; Actinopteri; Cypriniformes; Cyprinidae.
CUCCUCGCGUCUUCACAAGGUGUGUGAGCGCAGCUCUGUCUCCUCUUUGGAUGAGAGGUAUGCGCAUUCUUCCUUAUUUGGACGACUGGCUUCUCUGUGCCCCAACACAGCGACAGGCUGUACAAGACUCCAGAAUGCUUUUGAGACAUGUGCAGAAGCUGGGGUUUUCUGUGAACGAGAAAAAGAGCCGUCUGGUCCCAUCACAGGCCACUACGUUCAUAGGAAUGACCCUGAAUUCCUCUCUAAUGUCUGCCUCCCUGUCUCAGGAACGUGUGACGAACAUUCUGCAACUUUUGGCUCUCUUUCGCCCGGGGGUGUCUUUACAGUACGAGGUGGUCCUACGACUGAUAGGGAUGUUAACAGCAGCUACGGUGGUGAUCCCCUUGGGUUUACUCCACCUCAGACCACUCCAGUUAUGGAACAACAGUUUACGGCUAGAUCCCACCAGGCAUCGCCAUCGACUGGUUGUAAUUUCUCACCGUUGCAUAUGUGCGUUGAGGCGGUGGAGACAGUUAGAGUUUCUGAAGGCAGGAGUGCCCCUGGGUGUUGUUCCCUCUCGUCGGGAGUUGGUCACGACAGAUGCUUCCCUCACAGGAUGGGGGGCAACGUGGAAUCGGAGGGGUAUUUGUGGGCACUGGACACCGAUCCAGGCCACAGAGCAUAUCAACCUGCUAGAACUAAGGGCAGUGUUCUUGGCCCUAAAGUACUUCAUGCCGGUUCUGGCAGGCCGCCAUGUUCUCGUUCGGUCCGACAAUACCUCAACAGUGUUCCAUCUGAACCACCAGGGCGGCACAAGAUCCCGCAGGUCUCUACGGUUGACUCACGAGAUCCUGACAUGGUGUCAGCCACGACUUGCUUCACUGAGGGCAGCUCAUAUACCAGGAGUGUGCAACCAGACAGCGGAUGCUCUUUCCCGGGAUCAAGUACAUCCGGGAGAAUGGAGGCUUCAUCCAGAUGUAGUGCAGGAGAUCUGGCUACGAUUUGGGAGAGCAGAGGUGGAUCUUUUUGCUUCAGAGAGGACAACCCACUGCCGAUUAUGGUUCACAAGGACAGAGGUGUCCAGUCCACUGGGCCAGGAUGCGCUGUCUCACGAAUGGCCGGACUGCCUGCUAUAUGCGUUUCCACCUAUCCCUCUGUUAUGGGAGACGUUGCACAGGAUCUCGCUGUGCAAGCACAGAGUGUUACUUGUGGCACCACGGUGGCCAGCCAGACCAUGGUUUCCUUUGUUGCUGAGACUUCUGACAGGAAAUCCAUGGAAGCUUCCUCCCAGGAAGGACCUCCUCUCCCAGCUGGAGGGCAGUGUUUGGCACCCGGACCCGGCUCAUCUGCAGCUUUGGGUAUGGCCAUUGGGCUAAAUCCUUCCCUGGAGCAUUGUGAUCCUGCUGUUAUUCACACCAUCUCUAAUGCUAGGGCUUCUUCCACACGACAGAUUUAUGCCUCCCGUUGGAAGCUUUUUUCUGCAUGGUGUGAGGAACAGGGGUUUGAUCCUGCAACAUGUGAUAUUCCGAGUGUCUUAAGCUUUCUUCAACGUUUACUGGAGGAGGGAAAAGCAGCUUCCACAUUGAAAGUAUACGUUGCUGCGAUUUCUGCAUAUCAUGUUCCAGUUGGUGGCUCUUCUCUUGGCUCUCACAGUCUUGUCUGCAGUUUUCUGAAGGGAGCGCGCCGUCUGAACCCUGCUAGGAAUCCUCAUUUCCCUGUGUGGGAUUUGUCACUCGUGCUUGCUUUCCUGUGUUCACCCCAAUUUGAGCCCUUGCAAAGCAUUGACAUUAAAUGGAUGUCCUUGAAGACUUCUUUUUUGUUAGCUAUUGCUACUGCAAAACGAGUCAGUGAGUUGCAUGCACUGUCUGUUAGCGAACGUUGCUUGCGCUGGUUACCAGAUGACUCCGGGGUGGUUCUACGACCCAAUCCUUCUUUUCUUCCGAAGGUCCUUCUUCCUCAGUUCAUAAAUCAGCACAUUGAACUAGCCUCUUUUCAGACUUCUUCAGAGUCUGACUCAAGUGCCCAACUUUUGUGUCC